This 556-nucleotide ribosomal RNA is filed under the name Sarocladium oryzae. Its description in RNAcentral is "partial large subunit ribosomal RNA". Lineage: Eukaryota; Fungi; Ascomycota; Sordariomycetes; Hypocreales; Sarocladiaceae. The record is from RNAcentral.
CCGGCGAGUGAGCGGCAACAGCUCAAAUUUGAAAUCUGGCCGCAAGGUCCGAGUUGYAWUUUGCAGAGGAUGCUUUUGGCGAGGUGCCUUCCGAGUUCCCUGGAACGGGACGCCAUAGAGGGUGAGAGCCCCGUACGGUAGGACCACCGAGCCUUUGUAAAGCUCCUUCGACGAGUCGAGUAGUUUGGGAAUGCUGCUCUAAAUGGGAGGUGUACGUCUUCUAAAGCUAAAUACCGGCCAGAGACCGAUAGCGCACAAGUAGAGUGAUCGAAAGAUGAAAAGCACUUUGAAAAGAGGGUUAAAAAGUACGUGAAAUUGUUGAAAGGGAAGCAUUUAUGACCAGACUUGGACUUGGUUGAACAUCCGGCGUUCUCGCCGGUGCACUCUGCCAGUUCAGGCCAGCAUCAGUUUGCCCCGGGGGACAAAGGCGGUGGGAAUGUGGCUCCUCCGGGAGUGUUAUAGCCCGCCGUGUAAUGCCCUGGGGCGGACUGAGGAACGCGCUUCGGCUCGGAUGCUGGCGUAAUGGUCAUCAAUGACCCGUCUUGAAACACGGACC